CUUGCUGAGGCGGGCGAUA
RNAcentral lists this small nuclear RNA (19 nucleotides) under Arabidopsis thaliana (thale cress). Its description in RNAcentral is "snRNA_16787". Lineage: Eukaryota; Viridiplantae; Streptophyta; Magnoliopsida; Brassicales; Brassicaceae. The record is from RNAcentral.